GAUGAACGCUAGCGGCAGGCUUAAUACAUGCAAGUCGAGGGGCAGCACGAAUAGCAAUAUUUGGUGGCGACCGGCGCACGGGUGCGUAACACGUAUACAACCUACCUAUAACAGGGGGAUAGCCUUUCGAAAGAGAGAUUAAUACCCCGUAAUAAAUUGAAUGGCAUCAUUUGAUUUUGAAAGACUACGGCGGUUAUAGAUGGGUAUGCGUCUGAUUAGCUAGUUGGUGAGGUAAUGGCUCACCAAGGCGACGAUCAGUAGGGGAUCUGAGAGGACUAACCCCCACACUGGUACUGAGACACGGACCAGACUCCUACGGGAGGCAGCAGUAAGGAAUAUUGGUCAAUGGGAGGCAACUCUGAACCAGCCAUGCCGCGUGCAGGAUGACGGCCCUAUGGGUUGUAAACUGCUUUUGUACCAGAGAAAACCUAUCUACGUGUAGAUAGCUGAUAGUAUGGUAAGAAUAAGCA
This 470-nucleotide ribosomal RNA is filed under the name uncultured bacterium. Its description in RNAcentral is "bacterial SSU rRNA". It matches the Rfam family "Bacterial small subunit ribosomal RNA", at positions 28 to 492 of the family's 1533-position model. The record is from RNAcentral.